This 71-nucleotide transfer RNA is filed under the name Marmota monax (woodchuck). RNAcentral's name for it is "tRNA.Ala". It matches the Rfam family "tRNA". Rfam says of the family: Transfer RNA (tRNA) molecules are approximately 80 nucleotides in length. Their secondary structure includes four short double-helical elements and three loops (D, anti-codon, and T loops). Lineage: Eukaryota; Metazoa; Chordata; Mammalia; Rodentia; Sciuridae. The record is from RNAcentral.
GGGGUUGUGGCUCAGCGGUACAGCACUCACCUAGCAAGUGUGAGGUCCUGGGUUCGAUCCCCGGCACCACA